UACGGAGGGUGCAAGCGUUAAUCGGAAUUACUGGGCGUAAAGGGUGCGUAGGUGGUCUAAUAAGUUAUGUGUAAAAUCCCUGGGCUCAACCUGGGCAGGUCAUAUAAAACUGUUAGACUCGAGUAUAGGAGAGGGUAGUGGAAUUUCCGGUGUAGCGGUGAAAUGCGUAGAGAUCGGAAGGAACACCAGUGGCGAAGGCGGCUACCUGGCCUAAUACUGACACUGAGGCACGAAAGCGUGGGGAGCAAACAGGAUUAGAUACCCUGGUAGUCCACGCUGUAAACGAUGUCAACUAGCUGUUGGUUAUAUGAAUAUAAUUAGUGGCGCAGCUAACGCGAUAAGUUGACCGCCUGGGGAGUACGGUCGCAAGAUUA
RNAcentral lists this ribosomal RNA (374 nucleotides) under uncultured prokaryote. RNAcentral describes it as "bacterial SSU rRNA". It matches the Rfam family "Bacterial small subunit ribosomal RNA", at positions 524 to 896 of the family's 1533-position model. The record is from RNAcentral.